This 492-nucleotide ribosomal RNA is filed under the name uncultured bacterium. RNAcentral describes it as "partial 16S ribosomal RNA". It matches the Rfam family "Bacterial small subunit ribosomal RNA", at positions 29 to 507 of the family's 1533-position model. The record is from RNAcentral.
AGUGAACGCUGGCGGUAGGCCUAACACAUGCAAGUCGAACGGCAGCACAGUAAGAGCUUGCUCUUACGGGUGGCGAGUGGCGGACGGGUGAGGAAUACAUCGGAAUCUACUUUUUCGUGGGGGAUAACGUAGGGAAACUUACGCUAAUACCGCAUACGACCUACGGGUGAAAGCAGGGGAUCUUCGGACCUUGCGCGAUUGAAUGAGCCGAUGUCGGAUUAGCUAGUUGGCGGGGUAAAGGCCCACCAAGGCGACGAUCCGUAGCUGGUCUGAGAGGAGGAUCAGCCACACUGGAACUGAGACACGGUCCAGACUCCUACGGGAGGCAGCAGUGGGGAAUAUUGGACAAUGGGCGCAAGCCUGAUCCAGCCAUACCGCGUGUGUGAAGAAGGCCUUCGGGUUGUAAAGCCCUUUUGUUGGGAAAGAAAAGCAGCAGGUUAAUACCCCGCUGUUCUGACGGUACCCAAAGAAUAAGCACCGGCUAACUUCGUG